This 468-nucleotide ribosomal RNA is filed under the name uncultured bacterium. RNAcentral describes it as "partial 16S ribosomal RNA". It matches the Rfam family "Bacterial small subunit ribosomal RNA", at positions 28 to 507 of the family's 1533-position model. The record is from RNAcentral.
GACGAACGCUGGCGGCGGGCUUAACACAUGCAAGUCGAACGGAAAGGCCCUGCUUUUGUGGGGUGCUCGAGUGGCGAACGGGGGAGGAACACGUGAGUAACCUGCCCUUGACUUUGGGAUAACUUCAGGAAACUGGGGCUAAUACCGGAUAGGAUCUCCUGCUGCAUUGUGGGGGUGGGAAAGUUUAGGCGUUUGGGGAUGGACUCGCGGCUUAUCAGCUUGUUGGUGGGGUAGUGGCUUACCAAGGCUUUGACGGGUCGCCGGCCUGAGAGGGUGACCGGCGACAUGGGGACUGAGAGACGGCCCAGACGCCUACGGGAGGCAGCAGGGGGGAACAUUGCACAAUGGGCGGAAGCCUGAGACAGAAGCGCCGCGUGCGUGAUGACGGCCUUCGGGGUGUAAACCGCUUUCGCCUGUGACGAAGCGUGAGUGACGGUAAUGGGUAAAGAAGCACCGGCUAACUACGUG